Molecule: small RNA, 125 nt
Filed under: Marmota monax (woodchuck)
Lineage: Eukaryota; Metazoa; Chordata; Mammalia; Rodentia; Sciuridae
Source: RNAcentral
GCGGGGCACAGUGGUGAAUGCCUGUAAUCCCAGCACCUCAGGAGGCUGAGACAGGAGGAUCAUGGGUUUAAAGCCAGCCUCAGCAAUAACGAGCCACUAAGCAACUCAGUAAGACCCUGUCUCUA